AAAUUGAAGAGUUUGAUCAUGGCUCAGAUUGAACGCUGGCGGCAGGCCUAACACAUGCAAGUCGAACGGUAACAGGAAGAAGCUUGCUUCUUUGCUGACGAGUGGCGGACGGGUGAGUAAUGUCUGGGAAACUGCCUGAUGGAGGGGGAUAACUACUGGAAACGGUAGCUAAUACCGCAUAACGUCGCAAGACCAAAGAGGGGGAGCUUCGGGCCUCUUGCCAUCGGAUGUGCC
RNAcentral lists this ribosomal RNA (234 nucleotides) under Escherichia coli. RNAcentral's name for it is "partial 16S ribosomal RNA". It matches the Rfam family "Bacterial small subunit ribosomal RNA", at positions 1 to 231 of the family's 1533-position model. Lineage: Bacteria; Pseudomonadati; Pseudomonadota; Gammaproteobacteria; Enterobacterales; Enterobacteriaceae. The record is from RNAcentral.